CAGGUAUGUUUAGUGAUGUUGGCUGAGUGUUACUAGUGUGCUGUGUUUCAUGUUAGUAUUCUUGUUUAGAGCAUAGAUUUGGAUAAACCUUGCGGCUGGUGCUUGGUUGAUGUGGUCUCUCUCAACCGUCUAAAGCAAGCGGGAGGGAGACUGUAAUAGCCCAGACGUUCUGCCUUACGCUACAUAGUAGUUUUGCCCCAUUGUGUGCUGUAUUGCCAACCGAGUGAGCCCACGGGUGCACAGAAUGUUGCGUACCUGAUCGGUCGGGCUUUGAGAGAGCACACGGAUACGGUAGACUUGUUGCGUCUGCGGGCGAUUUUAACUCCUUACUGUGGGGGCUUCGUGGGAAGUAUCGUCCAGAGGCGCUGUUGCUUUGCCGGAGCUGAGUGCCGAAGGCGGGGUGGAUUUUGGUGGUGGUGCUACUUCACGAGUGCAGUGUGGAGUGGGUGUGUGUGUGUAUGUGUUUCCACACAGGUGUAACGAAAGUGUGCGGUGCUGUGGAGGCCUAUUAGUGCCCUUAUUCCCAGCUGUUACGCCUCGGCUCCUGCAUCCCCUUCAUACAGUUUUGUUGAGGGUAUUGGCCACCCAUAUCACAUUCAUUGAGCUAUUUAUUCUUUUCUUUUUUUUUUGUGAUUUGAUUUGUUGCAUUAAAUUUUAUUUUUAAUAAAAAUUUUUAAUUGUUU
Molecule: long non-coding RNA, 683 nt
Organism: Cyprinus carpio carpio
Lineage: Eukaryota; Metazoa; Chordata; Actinopteri; Cypriniformes; Cyprinidae
Source: Ensembl